RNAcentral lists this ribosomal RNA (402 nucleotides) under uncultured Soehngenia sp. RNAcentral describes it as "bacterial SSU rRNA". It matches the Rfam family "Bacterial small subunit ribosomal RNA", at positions 509 to 914 of the family's 1533-position model. The record is from RNAcentral. Lineage: Bacteria; Bacillati; Bacillota; Tissierellia; Tissierellales; Tissierellaceae.
CAGCAGCCGCGGUAAUACGUAGGGGGCGAGCGUUGUCCGGAUUUACUGGGCGUAAAGGGUGAGUAGGCGGUUAUAUAUGUCAGAUGUAAAAGGCUAUGGCUUAACCAUAGUUGGCAUUUGAAACUGUAUGACUUGAGUGCAGGAGAGGUAAGUGGAAUUCCUAGUGUAGCGGUGAAAUGCGUAGAUAUUAGGAGGAACACCAGUGGCGAAGGCGACUUUCUGGACUUAAACUGACGCUGAGGAACGAAAGCGUGGGGAGCAAACAGGAUUAGAUACCCUGGUAGUCCACGCCGUAAACGAUGAGUGCUAGGUGUCGGGUAGAAAUAUUCGGUGCCGCAGCUAACGCAAUAAGCACUCCGCCUGGGGAGUACGUACGCAAGUAUGAAACUCAAAGGAAUUGAC